Molecule: ribosomal RNA, 549 nt
Filed under: uncultured Glomeromycotina
Lineage: Eukaryota; Fungi; Glomeromycota
Description: SSU rRNA
Rfam family: Eukaryotic small subunit ribosomal RNA
Source: RNAcentral
UUGGAGGGCAAGUCUGGUGCCAGCAGCCGCGGUAAUUCCAGCUCCAAUAGCGUAUAUUAAAGUUGUUGCAGUUAAAAAGCUCGUAGUUGAAUUUCGGGAUCAAUUUAUCGGUCGUGCCUACGGUAUGAACUGGUACAAUUGGUUUCUCCCUUCUGACGAAGCAUGAUGUCAUUAAUUUGGUGUCGUGGGGAAUCAGGACUGUUACUUUGAAAAAAUUAGAGUGUUUAAAGCAAGCACACGCUUGAAUACAUUAGCAUGGAAUAAUGAAAUAGGACGUUUGACCCUAUUUUGUUGGUUUCUAGGAUCGACGUAAUGAUUAAUAGGGAUAGUUGGGGGCAUUAGUAUUCAAUUGUCAGAGGUGAAAUUCUUGGAUUUAUUGAAGACUAACUACUGCGAAAGCAUUUGCCAAGGAUGUUUUCAUUAAUCAAGAACGAAAGUUAGGGGAUCGAAGACGAUCAGAUACCGUCGUAGUCUUAACCAUAAACUAUGCCGACUAGGGAUCGGAUGAUGUUAAUUUUUUUAUGACUCAUUCGGCGCCUUACGGGAAAC